RNAcentral lists this ribosomal RNA (253 nucleotides) under uncultured prokaryote. Its description in RNAcentral is "partial 16S ribosomal RNA". It matches the Rfam family "Bacterial small subunit ribosomal RNA", at positions 525 to 777 of the family's 1533-position model. The record is from RNAcentral.
ACGUAGGGGGCAAGCGUUGUCCGGAAUCAUUGGGCGUAAAGCGCGUGUAGGCGGUCCGGUAAGUCGGCUGUGAAAGUCCAGGGCUCAACCCUGGGAUGCCGGUCGAUACUGCCGGACUAGAGUUCGGAAGAGGCGAGUGGAAUUCCCGGUGUAGCGGUGAAAUGCGCAGAUAUCGAGAGGAACACCAAUGGCGAAGGCAGGUCUCUGGGCCACUACUGACGCUGAGAAGCGAAAGCAUGGGGAGCGAACAGGA